This 1330-nucleotide ribosomal RNA is filed under the name uncultured bacterium. RNAcentral's name for it is "bacterial SSU rRNA". It matches the Rfam family "Bacterial small subunit ribosomal RNA", at positions 28 to 1381 of the family's 1533-position model. The record is from RNAcentral.
GAUGAACGCUGACAGAAUGCUUAACACAUGCAAGUCUACUUGAUCCUUCGGGUGAUGGUGGCGGACGGGUGAGUAACGCGUAAAGAACUUGCCCUGCAGUCUGGGACAACAUUUGGAAACGAAUGCUAAUACCGGAUAUUAUGCGAGAUUCGCAUGUUUCUCGUAUGAAAGCUAUAUGCGCUGCAGGAGAGCUUUGCGUCCUAUUAGCUAGUUGGUGAGGUAACGGCUCACCAAGGCGAUGAUAGGUAGCCGGCCUGAGAGGGUGAACGGCCACAAGGGGACUGAGACACGGCCCUUACUCCUACGGGAGGCAGCAGUGGGGAAUAUUGGACAAUGGACCAAAAGUCUGAUCCAGCAAUUCUGUGUGCACGAUGAAGUUUUUCGGAAUGUAAAGUGCUUUCAGUUGGGACGAAGUAAGUGACGGUACCAACAGAAGAAGCGACGGCUAAAUACGUGCCAGCAGCCGCGGUAAUACGUAUGUCGCAAGCGUUAUCCGGAUUUAUUGGGCGUAAAGCGCGUCUAGGCGGUUUGGUAAGUCUGAUGUGAAAAUGCGGGGCUCAACUCCGUAUUGCGUUGGAAACUGUCAAACUAGAGUACUGGAGAGGUGGGCGGAACUACAAGUGUAGAGGUGAAAUUCGUAGAUAUUUGUAGGAAUGCCGAUGGGGAAGCCAGCCCACUGGACAGAUACUGACGCUAAAGCGCGAAAGCGUGGGUAGCAAACAGGAUUAGAUACCCUGGUAGUCCACGCCGUAAACGAUGAUUACUAGGGUGUUGGGGGUCGAACCUCAGCGCCCAAGCUAACGCGAUAAGUAAUCCGCCUGGGGAGUACGUACGCAAGUAUGAAACUCAAAGGAAUUGACAGGGACCCGCACAAGCGGUGGAGCAUGUGGUUUAAUUCGACGCAACGCGAGGAACCUUACCAGCGUUUGACAUCCUAGGAAGUUGGCAGAGAUGCCUUCGUGCCCCUUCGGGGGAACCUAGUGACAGGUGGUGCAUGGCUGUCGUCAGCUCGUGUCGUGAGAUGUUGGGUUAAGUCCCGCAACGAGCGCAACCCCUUUCGUAUGUCGCCAUCAUUAAGUUGGGAACUCAUGCGAUACUGCCUGCGAUGAGCAGGAGGAAGGUGGGGAUGACGUCAAGUCAUCAUGCCCCUUAUACGCUGGGCUACACACGUGCUACAAUGGGUAGUACAGAGAGUCGCUAACCUGCGAGGCGGAGCUAAUCUCAGAAAACUAUUCUCAGUUCGGAUUGUACUCUGCAACUCGAGUACAUGAAGUUGGAAUCGCUAGUAAUCGCAAAUCAGCUAUGUUGCGGUGAAUACGUUCUCGGGUCU